Molecule: long non-coding RNA, 1574 nt
Organism: Gallus gallus (chicken)
Lineage: Eukaryota; Metazoa; Chordata; Aves; Galliformes; Phasianidae
Source: Ensembl
AAGGAAAUCACAUCAUGGCUAAAACUAUUUACUGCUACAACAUUGUAAUUAGGAUCCAGUAGCUGGAAUCUUAAUUGCAUCCCUAGAAUUUUCAGCAAGGUAAAACUAUGAUCUCUUACUAUACCCAUGACUGUGGUCAAUGCAUUCCAUUGAUGAGUACUAAAUGCAAAACUUCUCUACCAUGUUACUCAUUGCAUGUCUGUGUUGAGAUGUACACUCUAUCCCUCAAGACCAAUGUGAUCAUUCUCUGGACAGCCAAAAGCAUAUUGGUUAGUACUCCAUCUAAUGGCAGCAUCAGAGUAAACAACACAGAAACUACUAAACCAACCUGUUAUUCAUGAUUAUACAUGGCAAGGAAAUAACUACACAUGAACUCCGUGAAAAGCUCUGGGCUUUUCUUCAUGUAAUGAGCGUUUCCUGGAUUCUUGAAUUAUAGCACUGCACACUGAGCAUUUCCACAGAUCUCCACUGUGUAAAAUGGGAGUUCUGUGCUUCUGUCAUGUAUCUGAAAGGACGGCUUCUGUGGUUUUCCUGUGAAAUUGUAAAACCACACUUAAGAUGUCUCUGAAAUAUAGAUGAUUUGCUACUCUUCAGUGACUAACAAUUUAAUUCGAUGAUAGAAUUUUGAGGGUUUCUGAAGACCUUACCAUGGAUCAGAGCCCAAGACUGCUUCAACUUUCACUUUAUGAAGCACAGUGUCACAGCAUCCAUUCUUGCAAUUGCAAGAGCCAGAAAAUGGCCUUUGUGAUAAUGCCACUGAGAUUUAGAACGUUAAAGCAAUCUCAUUAUCAGUUUACAUCCCCAGUUGGAAAUCAGAGAUUGUUCAGCGCAUCAAACAGUUGAGUUGGGGCAUGUAAUGUGCAGCCCAAGGGCCAAGCGAGACCUGCUGAGUCAUAUAAUGUGGGCUCCAGCUGCCCUCCUCCUGUUGCUGAAGGAUGAGGAUAUAGUAGCAGAACUGAUUGAUGCUGCUAAUGAACUUCAAUGACAAUGAAUUAUUUGCCAUCUGCAUAAUGUGGAAGGAUUCCUGGGGAUAAAACCUGAGUCUGUACCACCCUGAAAAUUCUGGAAGAAGGGAUCUGUGUUGUUCUGUGGACCACUGGGGAGUCACAGACGAGAGGUGCCAGAAGGUCAGCUCCUCCCAUAGUAUGAACUGCAUGAGAAGCUAAGGGAGCAUCAACCUUGACUAGGAGCACCAUUCAAAAGAUGAGACAAAAAAAAGCAUCUUUCUGUGUCCUGGUGGAUUUUAUUUCUGUAAAUCAUUGUUUCAGUGUCUCCUAAAAGUACAAUUGUCUUGAAAAUGUUCACAUCUUAAAACUAUUAAUUCAUUUCAGGUUUUAUUUUGUGAUUUAUGGUGUUUGAGAGUUUUAUUUUGUACUUGUUGACAGUCAUGAGGGAUAAAAAACUUAAAUUUCCUUAAAAUUAAAGCUGAAAUUCUCUUCCAAUCUCUUGACUCCAGGAGCUCAGGUCAACUGCUGGCAGAUGCUUAAUAAUUUAGUCCUAAUAAUUGCUAUGAUUUUCUGUUACAGUACCUUCAGUGAGAAUGAAAAUAUGAAUUACAAACUGUGAAUGAGUAU